AGCUGUCUGAAGGUAGUGAGUUAUCUCAUUUGAUUAUUCAGUCAGUUACACAUCCAACUCCUUGUUCUACUCUUUCCCCGUUUCUCAGUACUACACUUGACUAAUUUUUA
This is an unclassified non-coding RNA of Gorilla gorilla gorilla (western lowland gorilla), 110 nucleotides long. It matches the Rfam family "Y RNA". Rfam says of the family: Y RNAs are components of the Ro ribonucleoprotein particle (Ro RNP), in association with Ro60 and La proteins. The record is from Ensembl. Lineage: Eukaryota; Metazoa; Chordata; Mammalia; Primates; Hominidae.